GGGCUCAGUGGUGGAGCAUCUGCCUUGAAUUCAGAAGGUCCCGGGUUCAAUCCUAGGCA
Molecule: transfer RNA, 59 nt
Filed under: Podarcis lilfordi (Lilford's wall lizard)
Lineage: Eukaryota; Metazoa; Chordata; Lepidosauria; Squamata; Lacertidae
Description: tRNA.Ser
Source: RNAcentral